UUGCGGUUAAAAAGCUCGUAGUUGGAUCUCGGCAAGUAGAGGGCGGUAUGCUUCGUAGCAUUACUGCCCUAUUACUUGUAGUUUUGCCAGAGGUUCCUGGGUGCUCUUAUCGAGUGUCUAGGGAUGCUGGCAGGUUUACUUUGAAAAAAUUAGAGUGCUCAAAGCAGGCUAUUACGCUUGAAUAUUCGUGCAUGGAAUAAUAGAAUAGGAAGUUGUUUCUAUUUUGUUGGUUUUCGGAAAUCGACUUAAUGAUUAAUAGGGACAGUCGGGGGCAUUUGUAUUCAAACGACAGAGGUGAAAUUCUUGGACCGUUUGAAGACAAACUACUGCGAAAGCAUUUGC
Molecule: ribosomal RNA, 342 nt
Filed under: uncultured marine eukaryote
Lineage: Eukaryota
Description: SSU rRNA
Rfam family: Eukaryotic small subunit ribosomal RNA
Source: RNAcentral